GCCAGACUCCUACGGGAGGCAGCAGUGGGGAAUAUUGCACAAUGGGGGAAACCCUGAUGCAGCGACGCCGCGUGAGUGAAGAAGUAUUUCGGUAUGUAAAGCUCUAUCAGCAGGGAAGAAAAAAGACGGUACCUGACUAAGAAGCCCCGGCUAACUACGUGCCAGCAGCCGCGGUAAUACGUAGGGGGCAAGCGUUAUCCGGAUUUACUGGGUGUAAAGGGAGCGUAGACGGCAAUACAAGUCGGAAGUGAAAUACCCGGGCUUAACCUGGGAACUGCUUUGGAAACUGUAUGGCUGGAGUGCUGGAGAGGUAAGCGGAAUUCCUAGUGUAGCGGUGAAAUGCGUAGAUAUUAGGAGGAACACCAGUGGCGAAGGCGGCUUACUGGACAGUAACUGACGUUGAGGCUCGAAAGCGUGGGGAGCAAACAGGAUUAGAUACCCUUGUAU
This 447-nucleotide ribosomal RNA is filed under the name uncultured bacterium. RNAcentral describes it as "bacterial SSU rRNA". It matches the Rfam family "Bacterial small subunit ribosomal RNA", at positions 330 to 793 of the family's 1533-position model. The record is from RNAcentral.